Molecule: ribosomal RNA, 301 nt
Filed under: uncultured bacterium
Lineage: Bacteria
Description: partial 16S ribosomal RNA
Rfam family: Bacterial small subunit ribosomal RNA
Source: RNAcentral
CAGUAGCCACGGUAAUACAGAGGCCUCAAGCGUUGUUCGGAUUCAUUGGGCGUAAAGGGUGCGUAGGCGGUUCCGUCAGUCGGAUGUGAAAUCCUGGGGCUCAACCCCAGAACUGCAUUCGAUACUGCGGGGCUAGAGGACUGGAGAGGAGAGUGGAAUUCACGGUGUAGCAGUGAAAUGCGUAGAUAUCGUGAGGAAGACCAGCGGCGAAGGCGGCUCUCUGGACAGUUCCUGACGCUGAUGCACGAAGGCCAGGGGAGCAAACGGGAUUAGAUACCCCCGUAGUCCCUGUCUCUUAUAC